RNAcentral lists this ribosomal RNA (461 nucleotides) under uncultured Pseudomonadota bacterium. Its description in RNAcentral is "bacterial SSU rRNA". It matches the Rfam family "Bacterial small subunit ribosomal RNA", at positions 40 to 496 of the family's 1533-position model. The record is from RNAcentral. Lineage: Bacteria; Pseudomonadati; Pseudomonadota.
CGGUAGGCUUAACACAUGCAAGUCGUGCGAGAAAGUACCUUCGGGUGCGAGUAGAGCGGCGGACGGGUGAGUAACGCGUAGGAAUCUACCUAGUAGAAGGGGAUAGCCCGAGGAAACUCGGAUUAAUACCGUAUACCUCCUUAGGGAGAAAGAGGGCUUAGCUUUGAUGCUCUCGCUAUUAGAUGAGCCUGCGUAAGAUUAGCUUGUUGGUGAGGUAAUGGCUCACCAAGGCGACGAUCUUUAGCUGGUCUGAGAGGACGAUCAGCCACAUUGGGACUGAGACACGGCCCAGACUCCUACGGGAGGCAGCAGUGGGGAAUAUUGGACAAUGGGCGCAAGCCUGAUCCAGCCAUACCGCGUGUGUGAAGAAGGCUUUCGGGUUGUAAAGCACUUUAAGUAAGGAGAAAAAGAUUGCAGUUAAUACCUGCUAUCCGUGAUGUUACUUACAGAAUAAGGACCGG